Molecule: long non-coding RNA, 104 nt
Organism: Alosa sapidissima (American shad)
Lineage: Eukaryota; Metazoa; Chordata; Actinopteri; Clupeiformes; Clupeidae
Exons: 3
Source: RefSeq, a predicted model, not a curated record
UGAGAACUUUGUAAGUGUACAGGCAGUUUAUUAAAAGGAAACACAUUACCGUUCACGUCUGGUUGACAUACAGGCAGGCGCCUUGGGAAAACAGAACUCUGGGA